GGAAUAUUGCACAAUGGGGGAAACCCUGAUGCAGCGACGCCGCGUGAGUGAAGAAGUAUUUCGGUAUGUAAAGCUCUAUCAGCAGGAACGAGACAAGACGGUACCUGACUAAGAAGCCCCGGCUAACUACGUGCCAGCAGCCGCGGUAAUACGUAUGGUGCAAGCGUUAUCCGGAUUUACUGGGUGUAAAGGGAGCGUAGGCGUUCUGCCAAGUCUGAUGUGAAAACCCGGGGCUCAACCCCGGGAGUGCAUUGGAAACUGGCGGACUGGAGUGUCGGAGAUGUAAGCGGAAUUCCUAGUGUAGCGGUGAAAUGCGUAGAUAUUAGGAGGAACACCAGUGGCGAAGGCGGCUUACCGGACGAUAACUGACGCUGAGGCUCGAAAGCGUGGGGAGCAAAC
This 399-nucleotide ribosomal RNA is filed under the name uncultured bacterium. RNAcentral's name for it is "bacterial SSU rRNA". It matches the Rfam family "Bacterial small subunit ribosomal RNA", at positions 358 to 773 of the family's 1533-position model. The record is from RNAcentral.